RNAcentral lists this ribosomal RNA (765 nucleotides) under uncultured Streptococcus sp. RNAcentral's name for it is "bacterial SSU rRNA". It matches the Rfam family "Bacterial small subunit ribosomal RNA", at positions 28 to 776 of the family's 1533-position model. Lineage: Bacteria; Bacillati; Bacillota; Bacilli; Lactobacillales; Streptococcaceae. The record is from RNAcentral.
GACGAACGCUGGCGGCGUGCCUAAUACAUGCAAGUAGAACGCUGAAGAGAGGAGCUUGCUCUUCUUGGAAGAGUUGCGAACGGGUGAGUAACGCGUAGGUAACCUGCCUUGUAGCGGGGGAUAACUAUUGGAAACGAUAGCUAAUACCGCAUAACAAUGGGUGACCCAUGUCAUUCAUUUGAAAGGGGCAACUGCUCCACUACAAGAUGGACCUGCGUUGUAUUAGCUAGUAGGUGAGGUAACGGCUCACCUAGGCGACGAUACAUAGCCGACCUGAGAGGGUGAUCGGCCACACUGGGACUGAGACACGGCCCAGACUCCUACGGGAGGCAGCAGUAGGGAAUCUUCGGCAAUGGGGGCAACCCUGACCGAGCAACGCCGCGUGAGUGAAGAAGGUUUUCGGAUCGUAAAGCUCUGUUGUAAGUCAAGAACGAGUGUGAGAGUGGAAAGUUCACACUGUGACGGUAGCUUACCAGAAAGGGACGGCUAACUACGUGCCAGCAGCCGCGGUAAUACGUAGGUCCCGAGCGUUGUCCGGAUUUAUUGGGCGUAAAGCGAGCGCAGGCGGUUUGAUAAGUCUGAAGUUAAAGGCUGUGGCUCAACCAUAGUUCGCUUUGGAAACUGUCAAACUUGAGUGCAGAAGGGGAGAGUGGAAUUCCAUGUGCAGCGGUGAAAUGCGUAGAUAUAUGGAGGAACACCGGUGGCGAAAGCGGCUCUCUGGUCUGUAACUGACGCUGAGGCUCGAAAGCGUGGGGAGCGAACAGG